UACGUAGGCAGCAAGCGUUGUUCGGAAUUACUGGGCGUAAAGAGUGUGUAGGCGGUGCUCUAAGUUCGGUGUGAAAUCGCCCGGCUCAACUGGGCGGGGUCGCGGGAAACGAUCGGGCUGGAGCUCGGCAGGGGGCCAUGGAAUUCCCGGUGUAGUGGUGGAAUGCGUAGAGAUGUGGAGGAACACCGAUGGCGAAGGCAGCCCCCUGGGCUGAGAUUGACGCUCAGGCACGAAAGCGUGGGGAGCAAACAGG
This 253-nucleotide ribosomal RNA is filed under the name uncultured bacterium. RNAcentral describes it as "partial 16S ribosomal RNA". It matches the Rfam family "Bacterial small subunit ribosomal RNA", at positions 524 to 776 of the family's 1533-position model. The record is from RNAcentral.